AUUGAACGCUGGCGGCAGGCCUAACACAUGCAAGUCGAACGAGUGGCGGACGGGUGAGUAAUGUCUGGGAAACUGCCUGAUGGAGGGGGAUAACUACUGGAAACGGUAGCUAAUACCGCAUACCAUCGGAUGUGCCCAGAGGGGAUUAGCUAGUGGGUGGGGUAACGGUUGACCAAGGCGACGAUCCCUAGCUGGUCUGAGAGGUUGACCAGCCACACUGGAUCUGAGAGACGGUCCAGACGCCUACGGGAGGCAGCAUGGGGGAAUAUUGCACAAUGGGCGCAAGCCUGAUGCAGCCAUGCCGCGUGUAUGAAGAAGGCCUUCGGGUUGGAAAGUACUUUCAGCGGGGAGGCGUUACCCGCAGAAGAAGCACCGGCUAACUCCGUGCCAGCAGCCGCGGUAAUUC
Molecule: ribosomal RNA, 406 nt
Filed under: uncultured bacterium
Lineage: Bacteria
Description: partial 16S ribosomal RNA
Rfam family: Bacterial small subunit ribosomal RNA
Source: RNAcentral